Molecule: ribosomal RNA, 504 nt
Filed under: uncultured bacterium
Lineage: Bacteria
Description: partial 16S ribosomal RNA
Rfam family: Bacterial small subunit ribosomal RNA
Source: RNAcentral
AUUGAACGCUGGCGGCAGGCCUAUCACAUGCAAGUCGAACGGUAGCACAGAGAGCUUGCUCUCGGGUGACGAGUGGCGGACGGGUGAGUAAUGUCUGGGAAACUGCCCGAUGGAGGGGGAUAACUACUGGAAACGGUAGCUAAUACCGCAUAACGUCGCAAGACCAAAGUGGGGGACCUUCGGGCCUCACACCAUCGGAUGUGCCCAGAUGGGAUUAGCUAGUAGGUGGGGUAAUGGCUCACCUAGGCGACGAUCCCUAGCUGGUCUGAGAGGAGGACCAGCCACAAUGGAACGGAGACACGGUCCAGACUCCUAGGGGAGGCAGCAGUGGGGAAUAUUGCACAAUGGGCGCAAGCAUGAUGCAGCCAUGCCGCGGGUAUGAAGAAGGCCUUCGGGUUGUAAAGUACUUUCAGCGGGGAGGAAGGCGGUGAAGUUAACAGCUUCACCGAUUGACGUUACCCGCAGAAGAAGCACCGGCUAACUCCGUGCCAGCAGCCGCCGUAA